RNAcentral lists this ribosomal RNA (457 nucleotides) under uncultured bacterium. RNAcentral describes it as "bacterial SSU rRNA". It matches the Rfam family "Bacterial small subunit ribosomal RNA", at positions 70 to 518 of the family's 1533-position model. The record is from RNAcentral.
CAGCAUUAUCGAAGCUUGCUUGAUAGAUGGCGACCGGCGCACGGGUGAGUAACGCGUAUCCAACUUCCCCUUAGUAGGGCAUAGCCCGUAGAAAUGCGGAUUAAUACCCUAUGUUGUAUUAUGAGGACAUCUGAAAGAUACCAAAGGUUUACCGCUAAGGGAUGGGGAUGCGUCUGAUUAGGUUGUUGGCGGGGUAACGGCCCACCAAGCCAUCGAUCAGUAGGGGUUCUGAGAGGAAGGUCCCCCACAUUGGAACUGAGACACGGUCCAAACUCCUACGGGAGGCAGCAGUGAGGAAUAUUGGUCAAUGGGCGAGAGCCUGAACCAGCCAAGUAGCGUGCAGGAUGACGGCCCUAUGGGUUGUAAACUGCUUUUAUACAGGGAUAAAGUCGGGGACGUGUCCCCGUUUGUAGGUACUGUAUGAAUAAGGACCGGCUAAUUCCGUGCCAGCAGCUGC